This is a long non-coding RNA of Sapajus apella (tufted capuchin), 122 nucleotides long. RefSeq lists it as uncharacterized. NCBI's taxonomy places the organism in Eukaryota, Metazoa, Chordata, Mammalia, Primates, Cebidae. The transcript has 4 exons. The record is from RefSeq and is a predicted model, not a curated record.
GCUUCAUCCAGGCCUUGGCUUCCUCACACGUGAAACAGGAUGAGAGCACACACCUCAUGGACUGCCAAGAAGAGCAACGUGCAAUGUGUGAGGCUGGGCAUGGUGGCGCGUGCCUGUAAUCC